This 785-nucleotide unclassified non-coding RNA is filed under the name Hevea brasiliensis (rubber tree). The record is from RNAcentral. Lineage: Eukaryota; Viridiplantae; Streptophyta; Magnoliopsida; Malpighiales; Euphorbiaceae.
GGUAUAAGGAGUGACAAAUUAUUCCAAAUUCAAAAUUCGCAGAUCACAUUCACCAUGUUUUCAGAUCAAAACUUGUAUCACUACAGCCUCCUCUCUCUCUUCCUCAUCGGACCACCCACCUUCAUCGCCUGUCAAUUCCUCACCGCCCCUUAUGGAAAACACCGUCGCUCCGGUUGGGGACCUACCAUUUCACCACCUUUAGCUUGGUUUCUAAUGGAAAGCCCUACUCUGUGGCUCACACUUAUCCUCGUCCCUUUCGGCAAAAAUCACAACAAUCCAUUAUCACUUAUCCUCAUUUCUCCUUACCUUUUCCACUACACAAAUCGGACGAUAAUUUACCCUUUAAAACUCUACUUCAACUCAAAGGGUGGAUCUCCGGCGAGUGGUUUCCCGGUGAGUAUUGCGUUUUUGGCUUUUGUGUUUAAUCUGUUGAAUGCUUAUGUACAAGCUAGGUGGGUUUCUCAUUACGCUGAUUACGAUUCUGAUGUGUGGUUUUGGGUUCGAUUUGCCGGCGGGAUGGUGGUUUUUGCCGGCGGGAUGGCGGUGAAUGUUUGGGCCGAUAAGGUGUUAGUGGGCCUGAAGAGUGAAGGAAAUGGAUAUAAGAUACCGAGAGGUGGGCUUUUUGAAUAUGUGAGUUGUCCAAAUUACUUGGGGGAGAUAGUGGAGUGGUUGGGCUGGGCUUUAAUGACUGGGUCUUGGGCCGGGUUUGGGUUUUUUCUGUAUACUUUUGCUAAUUUGGUUCCUAGAGCUAGGUUUAAUCAUGAAUGGUAUUUGCAGAAAUUUGG